This 282-nucleotide unclassified non-coding RNA is filed under the name uncultured fungus. RNAcentral describes it as "partial contains small subunit ribosomal RNA, internal transcribed spacer 1, and 5.8S ribosomal RNA". The stretch from base 1 to 73 matches the Rfam family "Eukaryotic small subunit ribosomal RNA", at positions 1759 to 1831 of the family's 1831-position model. Lineage: Eukaryota; Fungi. The record is from RNAcentral.
UCAAACUUGGUCAUUUAGAGGAAGUAAAAGUCGUAACAAGGUUUCCGUAGGUGAACCUGCGGAAGGAUCAUUACGAGGUUUCUCGCGAACCCCCAUUUCCCACUGUGUGCACCGAUCGAAAUUUGGUGAAGGGGAGGGGAGAACCCUUCCCUUUUCCUUCUUUCCUUUUCCACCCUAGCCUUAACGCUCCGUCUGAUAUAUAUUGUGUAUAUCUACCUGAAAAAUCGAAAAACAACUUUCAACAACGGAUCUCUUGGCUCUCGCAUCGAUGAAGAACGCAGC